GCCGGGCAUGGUGGUGGAUGACUGUAAUCCCAGCUACUUGGGAGGCUGAGGCAGGAGAAUCGCUUGAACCCAGGAGGCAGAGCUUGCAGUGAGCCAAGAUCACGCCAUUGCAUGCCAGCCUGGGUGACAGAGCGAGACUCUGCCUCAA
RNAcentral lists this non-coding RNA (148 nucleotides) under Nomascus leucogenys (northern white-cheeked gibbon). The record is from Rfam by way of RNAcentral. Lineage: Eukaryota; Metazoa; Chordata; Mammalia; Primates; Hylobatidae.